CUGGCCUCAAAUCAGGUAGGGCUACCCGCUGAACUUAAGCAUAUCAAUAAGCGGAGGAAAAGAAACUAACUAGGAUUCCCUUAGUAACGGCGAGUGAACCGGGAUGAGCUCAAAUUUAAAAUCUGGCGUCUUUCAGGCGUCCGAGUUGUAAUCUAUAGAGGCGUUUUCCGCGCCGGACCGCGUCCAAGUCUCUUGGAAUAGAGUAUCAAAGAGGGUGACAAUCCCGUACUUGACGCGACAACCGGUGCUCUGUGAUACGUUCUCAAUGAGUCGAGUUGUUUGGGAAUGCAGCUCUAAAUGGGUGGUAAAUUCCAUCUAAGGCUAAAUAUUGGCGAGAGACCGAUAGCGAACAAGUACCGUGAGGGAAAGAUGAAAAGCACUUUGGAAAGAGAGUUAAACAGCACGUGAAAUUGUUAAAAGGGAAACGAUUGAAGUCAGUCGUGUGAAAGGUAUUCAGCCGUCUCUGGCGGUGUAUUUGCCUUUCACGGGUCAACAUCAGUUUGAUCCGGUAGAAAAAGGCGGGAGGAAGGUGGCACCCUCGGGUGUGUUAUAGCCUCCUGUCAUAUGUGCCGGACCAGACUGAGGAACGCAGCUUGCCGCAAGGCCGGGGUUCGCCCACGUACAAG
RNAcentral lists this ribosomal RNA (626 nucleotides) under Vishniacozyma victoriae. RNAcentral describes it as "eukaryotic LSU rRNA". It matches the Rfam family "Eukaryotic large subunit ribosomal RNA", at positions 1 to 621 of the family's 3401-position model. The record is from RNAcentral. Lineage: Eukaryota; Fungi; Basidiomycota; Tremellomycetes; Tremellales; Bulleribasidiaceae.